Molecule: ribosomal RNA, 2048 nt
Filed under: Triticum aestivum (bread wheat)
Lineage: Eukaryota; Viridiplantae; Streptophyta; Magnoliopsida; Poales; Poaceae
Description: partial small subunit ribosomal RNA
Source: RNAcentral
ACCCUAUGCCUGUAAUCAGAUCAAAUCAAAGCAAUAAAGUACAAAGGCACGUCACGGGCCUUUAGCCAUCAACUCGUGUGUUCUCUCGUCUGUGUUUCCGGCGACUUGUACGUAGCCGCCGGCUAAUUGCUAGUUUCAACUAGCUAGCUUUCCACGUACGUCUUCAAGCCAAGAAUCGAUCCACGUCCACGACUCCGACGGAAAGUACUUGUCUACGAGUAGUGCGACGUAUAUCGGGACCUAGUGCCAACAAGCGGUCCAGCUCCGCGAACGCGUCGAUCGAACCAGUCAUGUGGUUCGUUGCGCCGGUGUCGAGGAACCAACCCUCACUUUGCUUGCCGCCUGCAAGCGUGGGUGUGGUCACGGCUCUCUCCUCAUUGAGGAAGACGUAGCCGCACGCACAUGCCGUUGUCAGGGAACCAUCUCCCGUCAACACGAUGGACCUCGAACACUUUGUUGUCAGGGUGUGGCUGACCUGAGUCUCCGUGCGCUCUUGCACGGAGUCGAUGGUCGCCAGCAUCAUGGUCGGAGCAUGGUCCGCCGUAUGCGUCGUUGCCGCGCCAACUUGCGCGACCUCGUCGGGUCCCGAGUUCGGGGAUGCCGUCGCCGGGGUGUGGCUCCCCCACACCCGAGCCUUCAUCGCCUCCCAGUCGACAGGCCCCGAAAACGUCGUUGUCGAGGUGUGGCCUAUCACUGGAGUGAUGGUUCCCGUGGACGGGUUUCGUGCCUCCUACACGGAAUGGGUGGUUGUCAGAGCCGUGGUCGCGAGAGACGCUGUGCUCUCCUGCACGGGCUCGACUCUUGCCAGCAUCAUUGCCGGCCCGCCGGCCACGUCAGCCUGGACAAGGUUUGUCGUUGCUGCGGCUGCCUCGUCGGCUUUCCUCCUGCGGCAAUCCCGGAUCCAGUGACCCGACAUGUUGCAGUAGCGGCACUUGCCACCGUUGCCAGUGCCUCGCCCUGCCUGGCUUGGCUUGCGACCGCGGUUGCCGCCACCGCUCUGGGUGCGGCCUCCGCCUCUGUCGCGACCUCUUCUUCCCGUGGGGGCGCCUCCCCCACUGCGGGAAGAGCCGUCGUGGCCGCGCUGCUGACAGGUGAGCAGUAGUUCGCCGGCGGCGCGGUUGUUGGCUUCGUCUCCGCGCUCCUCGAUGACCUUGAGUCGCCCUACCAGCUCCUCGAUCGUCAUGGUGGAGAGAUCCACCAAGCUCUCGAUGGACCAAGCCAGUUACUUGUACUGCCUGGGGACGACGCGGAAAAACUUGAGAAUCACCAUCUUGUUGUCGAUGGGAUCUCCGAGCGUUGCGAGCUUGGUGACGAGACCUUGCAGCCGCAAGGAGAAGUCGUCGACUUGUUCACCGGCCUUGAACCGGAUCUCCUCGUACUGGAGGCGCAAGGUCUGGGCCUUCGACUCCCGUACGCGCUCCACACCAAUGCGCAGAGUCUUGAUGGUGUCCCAUGCUUCCUUGGCCGUCUUCUUGGCGCCAAGGGGUGAGCACCAUCUCCGUUGGGACGGAGCGCAAGAUCGCCUCCAUCGCCAGCCGGUCCUCCUCGUACUCGACAUCGCCGGUUUCCAUGGCUUUCCACACAUGCCGCGCCUCCAUGAUGACUUUCAUCAGGACGGACCAACUGGGAUAGUUGGUCCACGUGAGGAGAGGGAAGGAGGCACUGGACAUGCCCAUGUCUCGCACGGAGCGUGGUGCACCCAGCUCACCUCCCGGCCUGCCUCGCACCGCGAGCGCGUCCGCCGCACAGGUGUCCUUAGCCGAGCUCUGCUCGGCGGUCUUGGAACCGUCGUCGGCGACGCCUCCUUUCGGCAUAUGCUUUGGCAUAACCUGAGGCUCUGAUGCCAAUUGUCAGCCCAAACUAUAGAGUAGCUAGGUACCGAGGAUUGAUCACAGCAGAGUAAAAUGGCUAGCACGAACUAGUAGCACACACUUGCUAUAUUCUGGACUCAAACACAGAUACAAGUGAUAGAGCUGUACUAGCACUACUACUACUUACGCUACAGAAGCUAGCUUGCUUCUUUGUUCUGGCGCUGGAUAUAAAUGAAA